CAUCAAACAAAAACCCAUCAUCUCCCGCGCAGUCCCUCUCCUUCAUCCUCAUCCCAAACCAUAGCCCUCCAUCAGAGAUCUCAUCAUCAAACCCCAAAUUUGGUCCCUAUACCCACCGCCCUUUGCCUCCAUGGAGCCGGAAACCACCUCCACAUCCUCAUCAUCCUCCUCCGAUGACACUGGUGCCGACGGCAGCCCCAACUCAUCAUCCAACGCCCCAAACCCAAGAUCCGGCUCCGCUUCCACCAUUGUCGGCGCUGGCCCUGACAACUUGAUUUCCUUCUCUAAACUCUUCAUAACUGAGGCCAAGUCUCAUACAGUCAGAUCCCUAUAGUCAGCGUUAGCAUCAUCAUCAAGCUUAUCGAGAAAGAGGUCAUCUCUCAAGUAUACAAGGCCGGUCUGGGAAGAAGGGAAAGCGCGAGGAUAUUUUGUGAAGAAGGUCUGUUGUUUGAUCGUUAGAUGGAUGUCAUCACUUCAAUUCCCAAUCAAUUCCUCAUCUCCUACGUGCAAAACCCUUAAUCCUAAUCACGAACAAAGUCAUCAAUGGCGCCAACUGCCUUGCCACAUCGCCAGUGUCAUUGAACCCUAGCUUCUUCUUCUUCAAUGACAAAUCUGAAGAUCAUCAAAACACCGCCAUCACCGACACCCAGCUCUAGCUUGCCUGCCUCACCCUUCAAUAUCGCCAACUCACCGAUUGCUAUGACCUAUGCCUUUCCCAUCUCCAAGAUGUUGUAGACAAGCUUGAAGCCCUUCGCCAAGAGAACUCUAACCUUCUCAAAGAUCUCUGCAAUUCCUACAGGUGGAUACAUUUGGUUCUCGGACUGGAUGGGUUGGAUAUUCUGUUUCCAGCUAGUAAAGGGAAGUUGAAUAAAACUCCUUUUGUUUAAGGUGAAUGUCUAGCUCAUUCAUCUUUCCCUGAUUUACAGAUACUUUCCAUUUGGAGUAAAUGGAAUGCAUGCUGAAUCAACAACUGUUUUCUUUGGAUACAUUGGUUUUGAUUCAGCUGCUAGCACUGCUGAGAAGAAAUGGUAUGGAUUGGGCAGUGUAUGUUGUAACAUCUGGUGGUGUUCUUACAUUAUAAGCAAGGAAAUAAAUCAAGGCAGGAAAACUGAAUGAGCAAAUUAGAUGAAAAAGAGCAGCUUUAAGCAUAGCAUUGGUCUACAUAGGGGCCCUCACCCUCGCUUCUAUUGCUUCAGCAGCAUUUUUCCCGAAAUGAAGAACAUAAUGAGUUUUGAGAAGAGGAUACUUCAACGGUCAUAGCUUACCACGUAGGACUCACAACCUUUUACUGAUCAUGAUGUUGAUCUUCAUGAUUUAUAGUUGUAUUUGUUGUUUUGUAGUAUUUUGUGUCGAACAUAUAUGCUUGAACAAUUUUUUUAUAUUAAUUGAUGAAUUUGUCUUA
Molecule: long non-coding RNA, 1402 nt
Organism: Dioscorea cayenensis subsp. rotundata (Guinea yam)
Lineage: Eukaryota; Viridiplantae; Streptophyta; Magnoliopsida; Dioscoreales; Dioscoreaceae
Exons: 6
Source: RefSeq, a predicted model, not a curated record